Long non-coding RNA from Marmota flaviventris (yellow-bellied marmot), 1281 nucleotides. RefSeq lists it as uncharacterized. The record is from RefSeq and is a predicted model, not a curated record. Lineage: Eukaryota; Metazoa; Chordata; Mammalia; Rodentia; Sciuridae.
AGCGUGGGGAUCAUUAAAGGAAUCUCCUCUUUGGCUCACGUCAUUCACGGUAAGACUUCCUAACAUGGUGCAAAAACCAAGUGGCUCUAACAACAUUGCCAAGGUCCUGGGUGGACAGUCAGGAACUGGGCUGUGAAAAUGAAUUUGUGCACCACCCCACUGCCCACACCAUGGAACCCACCUGGUGCCAGUCCUCAACAACAUUUCCCAAUUUGGGGCCGUUUGCGUGCUAUCUUCUGCUUUCCUGUUUUGCUUCUCUGCACACCACCUUUGCACAUAUCUCUAGGUUUGAACAAUUGCACUUACACAUUUCUAAUCUAUGUUCCUUCCAUCUUAAUCCCAGGCAACGUCUUGAAGCCACAAGUUGGGUGUGCUAGUUAUGCCCAACUAUUAGGGCACAUGCAACUCUCACCAAGAAAGUCAUUCAUCUCUGCACCUCCUAAAAUCAUUGCCUACAUCAUUCUUGGGGUUGUGGCCCCAGGACUCCCAUAGAUCUCCAGGGAGGGGCUUCUCUCUGUACCGUUUCAGAGGAGGCUCCUUAGAGAUCUUCAGCACAUGUGAGUUUCACAUUAUGAGCCAGCUACCCCUGUUUCCUUCAUCAGCACAGGAGAAGAUUUUUGGCCACAAUGAUCCUUGUGGAAUGUUUUCCUCUCUUUCUGGGAAGAAAAGAAGUGCCUCCAUUCCCAAUUCCCACUGAGGAGAAGCACUGAGGAGUGAGAAGCAUCCAGGACUCUGGCUCCACAGAUGUGGAAUCUCUUCAGUGCUAAGUGCUCUGGGCCAGGGAGGCAUGAGUCCUGCUCAUAGGCUUUUGGGUUCACUUGGUGAAUUUGGCCUCCUUUUCAGUGCUUGGGUUAAUGAGGUGCAGAUGGUCCAUAGCUGAUUCCUUUCCUAUGACAACUGUUUCACAGGCAAGGAAACAUACUCAAUGGCUCCUUGGUGAAUAGUUACCUAGUUUCUGAAAUCCCUACUCAGUCUGGGAAAAGGUUUCUCAUCAGAGGACAGAUGACCCAAGAUGGACUUACUGAAGUACUGGGAUGCACAUUCCUUGGCAGAUACGCUGGGAAUCUGGAGAUCUUGGUGGCUCUGUGUUUGGUUGUACAGAGAUGCUGAUACUAUCUUUGUGGGAAUGGAAUCGUCCAUGUGAGAACACAGUGUGGACAGGAUGCUGCCUCUGGAGAGCUUGGGGACACUCUGCCCAGGGUUCCUUCUUCUGAGUGGGAUCAGGAGUAGAAAGCCGUCCCUCCUCCUGGGAACGAGAUGGAAUAAAACCUGACUCUCUGA